RNAcentral lists this ribosomal RNA (467 nucleotides) under uncultured bacterium. Its description in RNAcentral is "partial 16S ribosomal RNA". It matches the Rfam family "Bacterial small subunit ribosomal RNA", at positions 28 to 507 of the family's 1533-position model. The record is from RNAcentral.
GACGAACGCUGGCGGCGUGCUUAACACAUGCAAGUCGAACGGAAAGGCCCUGCUUUUGUGGGGUGCUCGAGUGGCGAACGGGUGAGUAACACGUGAGUAACCUGCCCUUGACUUUGGGAUAACUUCAGGAAACUGGGGCUAAUACCGGAUAGGAGCUCCUGCUGCAUGGUGGGGGUUGGAAAGUUUCGGCGGUUGGGGAUGGACUCGCGGCUUAUCAGCUUGUUGGUGGGGUAGUGGCCUACCAAGGCUUUGACGGGUAGCCGGCCUGAGAGGGUGACCGGCCACAUUGGGCCUGAGAUCCGGCCCAGACUCUUACGGGAGGCAGCAGUGGGGAUUAUUGCACAAUGGGCGGAGGCCUGAUGCAGAAACGCCGCGUGCGGGAUGACGCCCUUCGGGUUGUAACCCGCUUUCGCCUGUGACGAAGCGUGAGGGACGGUAAUGGUAAAGAAGCACCGGCUAACUACGUG